This 1414-nucleotide ribosomal RNA is filed under the name uncultured Bordetella sp. Its description in RNAcentral is "partial 16S-23S ribosomal RNA intergenic spacer". It matches the Rfam family "Bacterial small subunit ribosomal RNA". The record is from RNAcentral. Lineage: Bacteria; Pseudomonadati; Pseudomonadota; Betaproteobacteria; Burkholderiales; Alcaligenaceae.
AGUCGAACGGCAGCACGGACUUCGGUCUGGUGGCGAGUGGCGAACGGGUGAGUAAUGUAUCGGAACGUGCCUAGUAGCGGGGGAUAACUACUGCGAAAGCGUAGCUAAUACCGCAUACGCCCUUCGGGGAAAGCGGGGGACCUUCGGGCCUCGCACUGUAGAACGGCCGAUAUCGGAUUAGCUAGUUGGUGGGGUAACGGCUCACCAAGGCGACGAUCCAUGUGGUUUGAGGACGACCAGCCACACUGGGACUGAGACACGGCCCAGACUCCUACGGGAGGCAGCAGUGGGGAAUUUUGGACAAUGGAAACCCUGAUCCAGCCAUCCCGCGUGCGAUGAAGGCCUUCGGGUUGUAAAAAGCGCACUGGCAGAAAGAAACGGCACGGGAUAAUACCCAUUGCAACUGACAAUACACAGAAUAAGCACCGGCGCUAACUACGUGCCAGCAGCCGCGGUAAUACGUAGGGUGCCAAGCGUUAAUCCGGAAUUGCAGAUAAAGCGUGCGCGAGCAGUUCAGAAAGAAAGAUGUAAAUCCCAGAGCUUAACUUUGGAACUGCAUUUUUAACUACCGAGCUGAAAUUAUUGUCAAGAGGAAGUGGAAUUCCGCGAUGUAGCAGUGAAAUGCGUAGAUAUGCGGAGGAACACCGAUAGCGAAGGCAGCCUCCUGGGACAUGACGCUCAUGCACGAAAGUGAGGCAAACAGGAUUAGAUACCCUGGUAGUCCACGCCCUAAACGAUGUCAACUAGCUGUUGGGGCCUUCGGGCCUUGGUAGCGCAACUAACGCGUGAAGUUGACCGCCUGGAAAUACAGGUCUCAAGAUUAAACUCAAAGGAAUUGACGGGGACCCGCACAAGCGGUGGAUGAUGUCGUUCAAUUCGAUGCAACGCGAAAAACCCUUAUUUGUAUCUGGAAUCCCGAAGAGAUUUGGGAGUGCUCGCAAGAGAACCGGAACACAGGUGCUGCAUGGCUGUCGUCAGCGUGUCGUGAGAUGUUGGGUUAAAUCCCGCAACAGGCGCAACCCUUGUAUUAGUUGCUACGAAAGGGCACUCUAAUGAGACUGCCAGUGACAAGCGGAGGAAGGUGGGGAUGACGUCAAGUCCUCAUGGCCCUUAUGGGUAGGGCUUCACACGUCAUACAGCGGUCUGGAUGGUCGCCAACCCGAGGAGCCAAUCCCAGAAACCCGAUCGUAGUCCGGAUCGCAGUCUGCAACUCGACUGCGUGAAGUCGGGUCGCUAGUAAUCGCGGAUCAGCAUGUCGCGGUGGGCCGUUCCCCGCUGUGCACACCGCCCGUCACACCAGCUGAUUCGGUUUACCAGAAGUAGUUAGCCUAACCGUAAGGAGGCGAUUACCACGGUAGGAUUCAUGACUGGGGUGAAGUCGUAACAAAGGUAACCCUGUUACUACCUGAUGAAC